This is a long non-coding RNA of Phacochoerus africanus (Common warthog), 495 nucleotides long. RefSeq lists it as uncharacterized. Lineage: Eukaryota; Metazoa; Chordata; Mammalia; Artiodactyla; Suidae. The transcript has 3 exons. The record is from RefSeq and is a predicted model, not a curated record.
GAUUAAAGCAGUUCUUUACUGUUGGAGGGAAGCUGACAGGACUUGGAAAGAGAAAUAGAGUCCCUCUGCCCUUUAUCCAGCUUUCCAGUAUCCUUUUUCUCUCAUUGACAGAACUACAAGAAAGCCACAAGCAAGAAAGGCUAGUCAAUGUAUUUUGGAGACUCUAAAUCCUAGCAUCUCAGAAAAGAAAAUAGAAAGCUAAACUUGGGCCAAAGAAGCAAUAGCUCUCAUUCCUCCAGUGACGUUACCUGUGAAGCAAGACUGCCUUGCACCAGACUGAGGAGCUAUGCAUUUGAAACACAAGCUGCCAGUACUUCUGCAAGCAAUUAUGAUGAGCUGAUUCCUGCUUGGGUGAGAAAUGAGGGACAAAAGGAACUAUCCACUCCAUACUCAGACUCAAAGAUUCUGCAGCAUGACAACAUAUAAAAAGGCAUACAUUCUAUAUUUAGAAGAUAAGGCCUGGCCUGGGAGUUCCCUUUGUGGUGCAGUGGAAAU